AACGAACGCUGGCGGCAGGCUUAACACAUGCAAGUCGAACGCUCGUGGCAACACGGGAGUGGCGGACGGGUGAGUAACGCGUGGGAACGUGCCCUGAGGUUGGGAAUAACUGCGGGAAACUGCAGCUAAUACCUGAUGCGCCCCGAGAGGGGGAAAGAUUUAUCGCCUUGGGAGCGGCCCGCGUCGGAUUAGCUAGUUGGUGGGGUAACGGCCUACCAAGGCUUCGAUCCGUAGCUGGUCUGAGAGGACGAUCAGCCACACUGGGACUGAGACACGGCCCAGACUCCUACGGGAGGCAGCAGUGGGGAAUCUUGCGCAAUGGGGGCAACCCUGACGCAGCCAUGCCGCGUGAAUGAUGAAGGCCUUAGGGUUGUAAAGUUCUUUUGCCCGUGACGAUGAUGACGGUAACGGGAGAAUAAGCUCCGGCUAACUUCGUGCCAGCAGCCGCGGUAAGGCACGACUG
This 463-nucleotide ribosomal RNA is filed under the name uncultured bacterium. RNAcentral describes it as "bacterial SSU rRNA". It matches the Rfam family "Bacterial small subunit ribosomal RNA", at positions 29 to 531 of the family's 1533-position model. The record is from RNAcentral.